Panthera uncia (snow leopard) is the source of this 19928-nucleotide long non-coding RNA. RefSeq lists it as uncharacterized. NCBI's taxonomy places the organism in Eukaryota, Metazoa, Chordata, Mammalia, Carnivora, Felidae. The transcript has 2 exons. The record is from RefSeq and is a predicted model, not a curated record.
GCAUUUCUGUGGUUUUUUUUUUUUUUUUUUAAUUCUACAUCAUGAAUAUCUUCUUAGGCUCUGUUGUAAUUUACAUCUAAUGGUAUCAUAUGGAUUUAAUGGGUUUUCUCCGUUAUAUAAUUAUUUAGCCUUUCCAAGUCUUGUAACAUGCAAACCAUACGUACUUCCUUUUAUAACUUUCUUUGUACCUCUCUCUGUAUGGUUAUAACAAGAAAUACAAAAAUAUUUUAAUCUAUUCUUGUUCUCUGUCUCUCUCUCUCUGUCUCUUAAAAUUGUAUUCAUUUUAACUAACAGUGGGAGAGAAUUCUCUGUGGAAAAUAAUCUAUAAAAACAAUUUUUCUUUUGGUAUUCUCUGAUCUGUUAAUGGUAAUUUUGUCAAAAUACCAGCUGAUUUAUGACUGUAUAAACUAUCAGAUUUAUCAGUAGAAUUAAGACACUAAAGAAGAGAGUGAAGAAACAAAUCACAAAGGGUUUUAUAAAGGUGAUGCCAAGGAGCUUUGUUAAUAAUGAAUGCCACCCCGGCCUUGUAGACAGUAUCAUGAGUCAUCCUUUCAAUAUGAAUUGAAGUUAUUGAAAGCGUUAAAGUUUCACUUUUGAGUCUUAAUAUCAUCUCACACUUUGCAGGGCGAGGACAUUGCCGAGAUGGUAGCAGUUGGAUCAUGAUACAUUGCAGUCUGUAGUACUUGGCGAAACAGGCAGUAAUGGAAGGAACUUCCUUUUCUUUGUUUUGAAGUAAAUAUGACUAAUGUCCAACACUGAUAGAGAUGUCUUAGUCAGAACUUGAUUUCGAUAAGCUGGAAUGCAUUCAUGAAGAAGUGCUAUUAGGAAGUUGAGCUAAAACCAAAAGAAAAAAAAAAGGAAGAUGACUUUGGCAUGACAUUAAAAAGAAAUUAUGUCUGUAUGGUAUGUGUGGUAUAUCAUAUUAAGACUGUACUUGAGAUACAAGACAAGAAGAGGUGCGAUCAAGAGAGAUUUGGGUGGUCUGGAGGAGGAAGAGUAGGUGGAAAUGAGAACCAGAAUGUGUAGGAGUUCAUGUAUUUGAGGCCAAUCUGAAGCAAGAGAAAAAUUUGUAGGGGAAGAAAAGAAAAGAAGGCCAAGUAAUAGUGCACAGUGGGAGUAGUGGUGAGGGCAGAAUAUGGGACUUAAAGCAGAUAGCUCUUUGGAGGGUGCCACCGUAAGAGGAAACAUGAGAGAGAAAUGCUAAAUAAAGGGAUUUGAGAUUAAAAAGGUUAAAUGACUAGAGGUCAGAGUAUUGCCAGACAUAAGUAGAUCUGUGGAGAGUGAAAGUAGAACCAGAAGAUCUCCCUUUGAAAACAGGAGAUGUAGGAUUUCACCCUUGCUUUUGUCUGUUAGCUCUGCUUCCCCUCCUGCCAGCUGAUUUCCAGGAGAUGACAUAAACAAAACAGAGCCUUCAAAAGUUGACCCAACUCUUCCCAUGGUUAUCCUUGUACGCCCUCAGGGGAAAAUAGUGCUGUGUAGGUCGUUUCUGUAGUCUUUUGCAACAUUUGAAGGCUCAUCAAACUUAGUAUCUCGAGUGGAUUUCAGUGUCUCCACCUAUUAAUAGAAGCACAUAAACUAAGAACAGCAGAGAGUUUCUGCGUUCAACAGUAAGUCACAUCAGAUGUGCAUGGGUCUGAGCAGCUGAAACUAUCCUCUACCAACUAGCAAUGUAUGUUUCUUCUCAACAAAGUGAACGUGUUCCAUGUUAUUAAUGCUCUUGUUGCAUGACUUCUCAACAGUAUACUCAAAGCAUGAACAGAAAAAGUUGUUGCAAAUACUUAGAAGUGACUUCGAGUACCUAUUUUUUUUUGUUUUGAAAUGGAAAAAUUAAAUAAUACGUAGAAAGUAAUAAUUGUGAUUGAAAGCAGAUGCUGUUUACUUUAAUGUUAAUCCCAUAACAUAUUUCCCCAGUCUUACGGAGAUGUAAUUGACAUAUAACAGUAUAUUAAAGAUGUACAACAUAAUGAUUUGAUAUGUUUAUAUGUUGUGAAAUGAUUACCACACUAAGUUAGUUCACACCCAUCACCUCAGAGAGUUACAAAAAUUUUUUCUUCUGAUGAGAACUUUCAAGACCUACUCUCUUAGCAACUUGCAAAUAUACAGUACAGUAUUGUUAAUGAGAGCCCCACAAAAUAUUGUCUCAAAAAUACGAAUAAUUUGUCAUAGGGAGUUGCUGGAAUCCUGGAAAUUUUGUGGGGAUCUUCAGGUCGAGUUCUGAAGAUUAGUUCAUUGUUUUUAAAAAACAAAUGUACUGGCUUAAAGGCUACUUCCUUCUCUUCCAGUCUCCUCCCCCUUUCCCAAACACACACAGAGACAGACCCACACCACAGAGUGUGCUGUCCUAAAUCCAAGAAGGAAAUAUUAUUGAGGAUGCGAUAACCCUACAACAACAAAACGGAAUCUACUUGCUAUUGUUAAAUAUCUGUGUCAGUUAAAUGUCAUUGAAAUAAGACCUAAAUUGCAUCCCUUGUAUGAAAAAAAAAAAUUUGGCCUAAAUUAGAGGAACAUCAUUCUAGCAUAAUAGAGAAAAAGAUUCUUUUAAUGGGAACUGUGAAGGAUCUGGCACUUUAUAAUUAUUUUUAAUUAUUUUCUACAAGGACAUAUUAAUGUGUCACAGUACUAGAAUUGCUGCCCACUGGUAGAAGUCUUACACACUGUAACUUGUUACUUCUCUAGACAUAAACUUCACCCAGACUUUUGGGUGAAGACUUCUUCCUCAGUCCAUGGGCCUGAUACUGAGCCAGUUUAGAAGCAUAGGGACUCUUGCAGGUCUCAAAAGUAGACGAAUAAAUGAUGGUUCAUGGGAGAGAUGAUAUGUGGCUUCAAAUUCAAGUUCAUUAUGUAGGUUUCCUGGAGGACUCUUUGGGAUACUGACCCCUUUGGUACAAGAGGUGAACUGUAUCAAGAUUUUGUCAAUUCUAAAACUCUUCAUGCCUGCUUACCCUGUGCCAAGUGCUUGGAAAUGGUAGCAAACAACCUAGACAAGAUUCUCUACCCUCAGAGCCUUGUAAUCGAAAAGGGGGACAGACAUUAAAUAAAUUAGCACAUAACUGAGUACUUAGUUGAAGCAAGUAGUCGGAAGGAGAUGCAGAGGGCACUAAUGAAAGUCAGUCGUGAAAACACCUAAGUCUAGUCUGUGUUGUCAGGCAAGACCUUCCCAGAGAAGUGACAUUUAAAGUGUAAUUUAAGAGGAAGAAUAGAAGUUAGGUGAGCAACAGGAGGGGAUAUGGAAGAAUGUUCCAGGCACAGGGCUCCACCCAGCAUGUGUGGUAGCCUGAAAAUAGGAGCAGUAGAGGGCUACCAAAAUGUCAAUGUGAACCCAGUGGAAACAGUCCUGUGUGGUGUGGUUGUGAGGUCAGAUCAUGCAGGGCUUUUAGAUCUUGGAGUCGGAUGGAUUUGUGUCACCUUAAGCAAGUCCCUUGGUUUUAAGCAUGAUUUACAACUUACCAAUGUCUUCUCCGUUAGCUGUUUUGCAAAACGGACUACCCCAAGUUAAGUGGCUUUAACACAACCAUUUUGGGACAAGUCAGUUUGGGCUGGACCCACAGGCAUGGUUCCCCAGUCUUACUUUACUCUCCUUGAAAUCUUUCUCUUGGUUUGCAAAGUACAGCUGAAAAGUCAAGUAAUGUGAGGGCUGAAAAACAUUCAUUGUCUGGUAACGCAAGGUUGUUUUUAACCCUAGUCUACGAUGCUAUUAUGAAGGUGGACAUUGUUCUGUAGUGUGUUAAGCAGUAAAUAGAGGCUAUGGUGGGCUGAAUGAUGGCCACCCAGAAAUGCUCACAGCCUAAUCCUUGGAACCCAUGAAUAUGUCAGGUUAUACGACAGAUGAGAAUUAAGGUUGCAGAUGGAAUUAAAAUUGUUAGUCAGCUACCUUAAAAUAGGGGGAUUUUCCCAGAUUACCUGGACAGGCCCAGUGUGAUCACAGGGGAGGGUGGUUAAAAGUGAAAGAGGAAAGCAAAAGAGGAGAGUGCACUGGAGAUGUGACUACAGAAGAGGUUAGAGUAACGGGGUGUGAGCAGUUGACUUGACUGCCAUUGCUGGCUUUGAAGAUGGAAGGGGCCAUGAGCCCCAGUGUGGGUAGCCUCUUGAAGCUGGAGAAGACCAGGAAACAAGACUUUCCCCCAGAACUUCCAGAAUAAAUGCAGCCCUGCUGACACCUUGAUUUUAGCCCAAUGACAUGCAUGUCAGACUUAUGACCUACAACAUAAAGUAAUAAAUUGGUUUUGUUUUAAGCCACCAAAUCUUGUAGUAAUUUGAUUACCAACAAUAGGAAGUGAACAGAGGGUAGGGAGAGUCGGAUAUCCACAUAGACCCUCUAAAGAAGUUUGCCAUCAAAGGAAGAAGAAAGAGAAGAUGAGGACCUGCAGGAUUUAGGGAGGAUGGUAUUGUUUGAAAAUGGCAGAGAUUCUGCACUUUUGAAUUUUUACAUUAUUUGUGUGAUUUCUGAGUUAUUUUUAUGCUUCUUAGAGAUACAGCAACAGAGUGCUUACCCGACACUCCCCACUACUAUCACAUAAAACUCUUUAAAAGCAAGUUAAUUGUACUUGAAUACAAAUCAGAUAUCUCUGCAACUUUAAAACUUGAUUGCACUAAAAUACCAAUUCUAUAAGAACAUUUCUCUUUAGCUUAAUACUGACUAAAACUAAUUAUACCCUAGUAGUACUUGACGGUAAUAUAUGUUAAACAUUUAUAAGCCUUGAAAUUAUGCUUACGUUGAGAAAGUAGAUGUCAGGACACCAUGAAUUUGAAUUUUAUUUCUAAAUCAUUACAAGUAAACUGGGCAUUAUUUUUCAAUCCUAUAAAUUGUAAUUGAUCUCUAUAAACAAUAACAGUAGUCAAUAAACACUGUGCAGUGCAUGCUUAUUAUAUCUGGCCCAAGUUUAACUCUUGGUAGCUCAUUGAAUCCUCAUGACAAUCUUAUGUGGGAGUUGGAAUUAUUUAUAUUCACAUUCUACAGAUAGAGAAUAUGAGCCAUUAAACAUGAAAAGACCCAUUUAGCAAAUACAAAAGAAUUGAGAUAUAAUUUUUUUUAAGUUUUUAUUUAUUUAUUUUGAGAGAGACAGAGACAGCACAAAUGGGGAGGGGCAGAGAGAGAGAAGGAGAGAGAGAAUCCCAAGCAGACUCCAAACUGUCUGUGCAGAGCUCGAUGCGGGGCUCAAACUCACAAAACCAUGAGAUCAGGACCUGAGCAGAAACCAAGAGUCAGACGCUUAACCAACUGAGCCACCCAGAGCGCCCAGAGAUAUAAUUUGUAUUAUCUUAAGUUGGCUUUAUUGUGAUUUUUUUUACAAACUUCUGCCUUUUAAAAUAUUUUUUAAAAAUUUGCAUGUAGUUGACACACAAUAUUACACUGAUUUCAGGUGUACAACAUAGUGUUUCAUCUUCUCUAUAUGUUAUGCUACCUCACCACAAGUAUGGUUACCAUCCGUCCCCUUACAACACUAUUAAAAUACCAUGGACUGUCUUCCCUGUGCUGUGCUUUUUAUUCCUGUGACUUACUCAUUCCAUAACUGGAAGCUUGUUGACCCAUUUUGCCCAUCUCCCCACCCCCUUCCCACUGGCAACCAUUAGUUUGUGCUCUGUAUUUAUAAGUCUGAUUAUGCUUUUGUUUGCUUACUCAUUUUUUUGUUUCCUAGAUUCCACAUAUGAGUGAAAUCUUAUGGUGUUUGUCUUUCUCAUUCCGACCUACUUCAUUUACCAAAAUACCCUCUGGGUCCAUUCUUGUUGCAGACGGCAAAAUCUCAUUCUUUUUAAUGGCUCUGUAAUAUUCCAGUUGUGUGUGUGUGUGUGUGUGUGUGUGUGUGUGUGUGUGUGUACACACACCCCACAUCUUCCUUAUCCAUUUGCCAGUAAACAUUUAAGUUGCUUGCUUCCAUAUCUUGGCUGUUGUAAAUAAUGCUGCAGUAAACAUAGGGGUACAUAUAUCUUUUCAAAUUAGUGUUUUCAUUUUCUUUGGGUAAAUACCCAGUAGUGGAAUUACUGAAUCACAAAUAUCAUGACCUGAGCCAAAGUCAGGCGCUUAACCGUCUGAGCCACCCAGGUGCCCCUGUUGCUAAUUUUUUUUUUUAAUGUUUAUUUAUAUUGAGAGAGAGAGAGAGAGAGAGUAUGUGCGGGCAGGGGAAGGAGAGAGAGAAUCCCAAGCAGGUUCUGCCCUGUCAGAGCAGAGCCUGAUAUGGGGCUUGGUCUCAUGAUCAUGACCUGAGCAGAAAUCAAGAGUCAGAUGCUUAACAGACAGAGCCACCCAGGCGCCUUCUGUUUUUAAUUUUUUGAGGAAGCCCCAUACUAUUUCCCACAGUGGUUGCACCAGUUUACAUUCCCACCAACAGUGCAUGAGGGUUUUUUUUCCCUCUACAUCCUCACCAACGCUUGUUAUUUCUUGUCUUUCUGAUUCUAGCCAUUCUCACAGGUAUGAGAUGACACCUCACCUGUGGUCUUGAUUUGUAUUUCCCUGAUGAGGAGUGAUGUCGAGCAUCUUUUCAUGUGUCUGUUGGCCAUCUGGAUGUCUUUGGGAAAAUGUUUAUUUGGGGUUUUUGUCUAUUUUUUAAUCAGAUUGAUUUUUUGGUGUUGAGUUGUGUAAGUUCUUUAUAUAUUUUUUAUAUUAACCCCUUAAAAUGUAAUCAUUUGCAUAUAAGAAGUUUCUUUUAGUUUACUCAAGGAACCAGCAGUCUAUACAAGCAUCAUUUAAGGUCUUGCAUUGUAUGGACUAUAAAAUAGGUUCCAGCUGCUGCACACUCUCAGAUUUUCUUCCUCUCUUCUUUCUUUUGCACGUUAACAAUUUCUUGGAAAUUUUUGGAAAUGCCUAUCAUAUUUGGUAAAAAUUUAAACAUAACAAUAAUAUCAAGAGUUGGUGAGAACUUUGUUUUUUAAGGCAUUCAUUCACUGUUGGUGGGGAGUAUGAGUGGCUAUAAGCCUUUCUGAGGAAAGCGCUUAUAAAAUAUUGUCAGCAAUAAAAAUUUAAUAUGUAAGUAUGUUAUAGCUCUGCAGUCUAACUCUAUGAAUCUGUCCUACUAAUCUAUACUUGCCCAGCCAGACAAAAUGUACGUCCAACAAACAAAGAGAAAGAGCAAUGGAAUUAGAAAAUCAUCAUUGGAUCCAAAGUGGGUAGACAGUGGUUUGAUGAGGAAUAGGAUAUUUCUACAUAGUCUCAAUUCAUCUCCCCAUAAAUUACCAGUUAAUUACAAAAGGAAACAGAGUAACUCUACUGUGGAGAAACCUGGCAAACACCACACUAAUCAUGUGAUCAAAAUUAACACCAAUAUUGGGAGAACUAACAUCACAUGCUUCCUGAUAUUUUCUAAGACGGUCACAUCAUGUCAUUGCUAUUCCUUCCAAGAAUGCAUAACCUGCAUCUGAUCAUGAGAAAACAUCUGGGGGGAAAAAAUGAAAUUGAGGGUUUGUCUAUGAGAUAACUGAACUAUCUUCUUCAUAGAUGUCAAGAUCAAGAAAGAAAGACUGAGGGUCCAGACUAAAGACCUAGGAUCUCCAAUGCAUUGUGUGAUCAUAAACUGGGUCCUAGGCUAGAAACAAAAGUAGCUAGAGAGCGUAUUAGUGGGACAGAUGACAAGACUUGAAUAAAGGGCAAAUUAGAUAAUAGUGUUUUUAUCAUAAAGUUUCUGAUCUUGAUAAUUGUACUGUGGUUAUAGAAAAGGGUGGGUUUUUUUUUUCCUUAGGAGGUGCACCCUGAAGGAUUUAGGGGUAGGAGCGUGAUGUCUCCAACUUAUUCUCAGGAAGAGUAUGCACAUAUAUAAAAACACGAAAGAAUACUAAAGCAAAUGAAGCAAAAUGUAAACAGUUGGUGAAUUUUCAUCAUGGUUAUGUAGGGAUUCCUUGUACUGUUCUGGCAAAUAUUUUUUGUAAGUUUGAAAUUAUAUCAAGAUAAGUUUAAAAAUAAAUAAAUAAAGCCCACAGGCAAGGCAGGAUGACCUAGGAAAAACUUUUCAAAUAGGGCCCAGAUGUAAUGACUAGUUUUCACCAGCCUUUCUUGACUAAAGAUGAUGCCACAUUUCGUGUCAAUAUUCCAUAUAAUGUAAGCCUGAGGAACAAGAUUAGAGUAUAAUUUGUCCAAAAUGGUGUUAUUCAAGUUUAUACUUCUCUUCUGUUCUGACUUUGGCCAGAGCCAUUAUGGCAUAUCCAGAAAGAGGUAUAGAUACAAUUACAUGUAUCAUCCUUUGUAUGUAUUAUUUCUCACAACCAAAUAUUUGAUGAGAUUUGGACUGCCGACAAUUUGAGGUUCUAAUCUCUGACAAGGACCUAGACUGUAGUGGUGCCUGGCUGGCUCUAUUGGUAGAACGUCGGACUCUUGAUCUCAGGGUCGUUAAUUCUAGCCCCAUGUUGGGUGUGGAGCCUACUUCAACAACAAUAACAACAACAAAGAACCUGGACUCCUAGACUGUAGCUCUUCUGUGUUGCCAAAUUCAAUUCAUCGUCUUGAACAGGCAGGUGGGCUAAGGUUAUCACCUCUUAGGAAAAAUUAAGGAGUCUUCCAUAAGGAUGGAGGUAUUCCUGAAGGCAAGGCCAAGUAAUUUCUUUUUUUUUUUUUUUUUUUUUUGAGAGAACAGCCCAGUCCAUUCCUGCAAGAUAUAAAUUGACUCUUUUAAAUUAUGUGCUAUAAAUGGGUCAGUGAUAAUUUUAGCUUGGUACAUUCUUAGAAGAGAUUGAAACUCAUUGUUUACUGUGGCCGUUAAAAAAACCCCUCUGUGUAGCAACCCCCCCUCCCGCCAAGAAUGUCUACUUUUGAGCACUGUGACAUUCAGAUGAGCCCUCCAGACUUGUCAAACUUAAUUGUGAAAAACAUGUAAGAUAGCACAAUUUUAUGACCAAAUAUAUAGAAUUAUUGGCUCUAAGCCAUUUACAUGUUUGAAGGACAAAACAGUUGAUUUUCUUUUUUUUUUUUUAGAACAGUUGAUCUUAAGGCAGUUUUUUGGACAGUAAUUAAUCAGACCAGCUGCACGAUGAGGCUGCUGUUAGUAAGCAACAGUAAAACCGUAUUUGGAGGAAGUGAAACACAUUUCUAAUACGGCAUAAAAAAAUCACUCUUUGGAGUUAGACUGCCCAUAUUCAUAAUCCCUAUCCUCCCACUCACAGGAUAUACAACUUUGUAUAUUUGUUUAGCCUCACUAUUCUCUAGGGAGUACCUAUUUUCUCUGGGGAUCAUACUAUUAGAAUAGUACCUAGGAGCACUGUUGAUAAGGGUCAGAUUCACUGUCAUAUCUAAGUGGAACAGGCACAUAGAAGGUGCCCCAUGUCUGUAGUUGUUAUUACUUCUUUGUCUGGUCUCAAAAGCAGCGAGCUGUGUUGAGAUAAUAAAUUUUAAAGGAGAGCAGUGAAAACCCUGUUUUAUGUUCCUGAAUUCCUACCUGUCAGCAGCCCUUUCCUGCUUCCCUGACUUACAGGCUAUAGAGAUGCGGCUUCCAUACAAACAGCAGUAGCCAAGAGCCUUCACUGAGUCAGUACCACUUGGUCCACUUUAUGCCCAGAGAGGCAAGAAGAUUCAGGAAUAUCAGUAAAAAUGGAGCAUUCUCAUGCUGUUUCUGACAGUUUCCCUAUCAUAAACAGGAUAAAAACAGUCAGCAUUGGCUUCAGACAAACAAACAAACCACCAAAAAACGCCAAACUUCAUGCUUGCAAUUUGUUGUGAAAGAAAUUGGCAGAAACCUGAGAAAUCUAAUUUCUAGAAAUCUAACGAAUCCAUAAUUUGCACAGGAAACUUAUUACUCAGGGUAGACAUGUUGGCAUGGGCCAAAAGCUGACCAAGCAGAGUAGACCUGAGGUAAUUCCAGUUUCCACUCAGCGACUUUUUUCAGUCUGAGCUUUUAGUAAGUCUUUUAUGGGAGGAAAUAUAAUUUAUGCUCAGUUGGAAAGGAUGGGGGUGAAGGGUGGGGUUCCUUGCUUUAUAAAGCUGAGAAGAAUCUUCCUCCCAGAUAUCAGUAAGGAUCCGGGUUUUUGUGAUGUCACUGACCAUAUCCAUGCCAUUGCUAACUCUGUCCCAGAAUCUGCCUGCUUUCCUGAUUCCAGUAUUCUCCUUCAAGAGAGUCAAGAUUUUAUAAUUCAGCUCAUAUUUAACAAUAUCCCUACGGUCUUUUAAAUCUGUGUUAUUGUUGUCUCACUGCCUGGCUAAAUUGUUUUUACUUAGGGCAAGCAAGCCCCAACUUUACCCUAUUAGAUUUGCUAGAUCUCUUGAUAACCACACCAAUGUAAAGACACCAGAAUGCGGUCCCAGCACAUCCUCAGUAGUCAGAGAUCUUGCUGAAAAUGAAAACCCCUUGCUCCAUUUCACUUUGUAAAGCUCUGGACCUCACCAGUCCAAUCCUAAAUACAAAUAAUCCCCAGGACAGCUAUGCCAAGCAAGGGUAGAAGUCAGUGAGAAGUGAGCUCGGUGCCCCGGAGAGGCCGGAACCGGGUGUGUGUGCCGUGAUGAUAAAGUUUGCUGUGCUGGAGACCUGUAGGACACUAUUUUCGGAUGUUUCCCAUGUGCUGGCAGCCAGUACUCGUUGGUUUGUUUGUAAAUAGAACUUGAUAGGAACUUUUCGAUUCAAAUUUACAAUGUUGUUGUAGGGGCCAUGUUCCUUAAACUGUUUUUGGCUUCCAACUCCCUGGAGAAUCUGAUAAAAGCUGUAGACCCUCUCUUCUCAGAAGAAUGCACAGAUGCUUACAUAUGCUUGAAAACAAUUGCACAUAAUUUCAAGGAAUUUACAUGAAGCACUUUCAGAGCCUGCUCUUCAUUGCUCCAAAACCAGCCAUAAGAAGUCUAUCUUCCUCUCCCUCAAAACGUUCCAGAGGGCUCUUUUGUACCUCUUUAACAGUCUUUGAAUAAUUGAGGGUGAUGAUGAGGAUCAUGGUAACUACCUUGUAUUGAGCUUUCAGUGUUUGUUAGACACUGUGUAUUCCUUACCCCCAGACGUGAACUCUGGGUCAUCCUCUCCAAACCUGUUCUUCCAGCAGCCUUCCCCAACUCCAUCUCUUCAGGUGCUCCGGUGGGCCUGGAUCUGUACUCCUACCACUGCAGUCGCCUUCCUCCUAACCACCAUCCUCUCUCACCCUGCUUCAUCCCAAGUGAUCCCCUUAUUUCUACCCUUGCCCUUCUCAACACAGCAGCCAGAAUCAUUGAGCCUAGUAAAGCGCAAGUCUUAUCUUCCCUCACUGUUCUACUCAGAAUCCUCUACAGGCUUCCCAUCUCAUUCAGAGUGAAAGAUGAGAUCCUUCCAAUGGCCAGCUCAGCUCCAGAGGAUCACAAUACGUUGUACCGUGCAUGGUAUGCAUAGCAGCCCCGGUGAUGGUCUGUAAGACUUUGCACAACUCUCCCACCCCCAUAACUCAGUGACUUCUGUGACCUUUGCUCCCCUGCUACGUUUUCCUUGUUCACUGUGUUCUAGCCACGUUAGCUUCCUUCCUAAUUGUUAGGUGCACCAGGCUCUCCCGCCUGAAGCCUUUGCAUUUGUUACUUCUGCCAGGAAUCGGGUCCCCCCAACAUCUGCUUAGCUCAUGUCUUCACUUUCUUAAAUUCUUUGUUCAAGAGUCACCUUGGUGAGGCAUACACCGACCACCCUUAUUAAAAUGCAGUCCUCGGCUCUAUCCUGGCAUUCCCUAUCUGCCUUUAGCUGUGCUAUUUUUUCCAUAGCAAUCAUCAUCUUCCAACGUAUUCAUAGUAUCUUGUUUACUUAUGUUUCUCUCUUCCCACUGGAAUGCAGGCUUCACUAGGAUGGAAAAUUAUUGCCUGUUUAGUUUGGCAUAUGGGUGCAGUAUCUAGAAAAGUAAUUGUUAUAUAAUAAGGGCUCAAAGCCUGUUGAAUGAAAUGAACAAACCCUAGGGAAAUAUAUUGUUCUCCUUUUAUAAUUAUGGUUUUAGAUUCAAAGAGAUUAAGCAACUUGCUCAAAGUCACACAACUGAUGAAUGGUAUCACUAGGAUUUUUGGAUUUUCUGACACUAAAGACUUAGGUUCUUAAAUACCAAAAAUACUUCUUUCCAAGGAUAUAUAAAAUAAGAGGUCAAAAUGUAGUCUAGAAGUGGCAGUCUUACAAGGCUGAGGAGUCAAAAGUUGGAGUUUGGGGCCAACACAGUGGCUAGCAAGGACCCUUUUCCUUUGUGGCAAAGGACCCUGCCAAGAAGGGAACCACAGGUGAGGUGGUUCAGAAAUCUCUGUGUGUGGACUGACUUCCCAGCAGUGAGUGCAUGGGGUGAACAUCUAAGUGGCCCAGACAAAAGCUGGAAAGGUUGAAAGAGCCCGAUAAAGAUUUCAGCAGCUCCCACCUUCGGGGAGACAGUUUGCAGUUAAAUUCCUCCCAAGGUAUAGGGACUUGGUAAACUCUACAAGACUUUUGUCAAAAUUCUAGAAGAGCCAGGCCAUAAGAGUAAGAACCACACUUGCAGAAUCAAAAAUAAGUGGUGGUAGCGAAUUUUAACUCGUUGAAUAAACUAAACCCCUGAGUUCCUUCAGAUGUAAAUAAAUAAAUUGAAUGAUGGGAUUUGGGAUAAUUACAUGGUUUCAAAGUACUUCUCCAAAAAUACUUACUAAUUACAAAGUGAAAUAGGUAACUUUACGGUAGAGAAGCCAAGGAGACACUGCCUUAAUCAAGAGAUCAAAGUGAAAAUCAUUGAUACUAGGAUGAAUCGAAAUCAGGCCCUACCUGAGACGAUGCACCAAGAACAGUGCGACUUCCAUGAUUUCCUCUAGUGAUGCUCACCUGAGUAUGAUCAUGCAGGUACAUCAGACAAAUUCAGAUUGUGGGACAGUGUGCAAAGUACGAAGUCUGUAAUCUUCCCAGUGUCAAGGUUAUGAAAGUCAAGGGAAGACAGGAACUAUUCCGAACUGAAGAAAUUGGAUGACUAAACUGAACAUUUGAUUCUAAACUGGAAACUUUUGCUGUAAUACUUUGAGAACAACUAAGGAAACUUGACAUUAGGAUUGAGUAUUAGAUGGUAACAAUAUAUUUGUGUUAAUACACUGAUUUUGUAAAUGAUCAUGUCAUGGUAUGGCAUACAGAUGAAAGUGUGCUUGAGUGAUGGGUUGUCAACUUGACAAAUCACUUAGAUGGGUUCCUGAAAAAAGUUUUAUGACUAUAUUUAAGACUUGUCUUUAGAUUUAUGAUUGUUUCAAAAUAAAAUGGAAAAAAAAAGUGUAUUUCUAUAUAGUAGGAUCAAACAACUGGAAAGUGGAAUUUUUUGAACAUAAAAUACUUGGGAAUAAAUUUACUCUGUAAAUUCUACAUUGCUGAGAGAAAUUAAAGAAAACAUGGUUAAUAGAGAGAUGUACCAUGUUCAUGAGUAGGAACACUCAAUGUUGUUCACAUGCCAGUUCUCCCUAAAUUGAACUAUAGAUGGAAAACCGUCAAAGUCACAAUCUAAGCAGGGUUUUUGGUGGAGACUGACAAACUGACUCCAAUUCCUAUGCAAAAACAAAGGAACUAGAAUAGCUCGUUCAGUCUUAAAGAAGAACAAAUAUGGGAGGCUUAAAUGAUCUGAUUUAAAAAUGACUAUUAAGUCACAGUAAUCAAGGCAGUAUGGCAUGAAACAUAUAGAUCAGUGGAAUAGAACAAGACUCCAGAAACACACCCACACUUCUAUUAGCCCUUUGAUUUUUGACAAAUGUUACAAAGCAAUUCAAUGGGGAAAGAAGUAAGUGGUGCUAGUACAAUGAAAAAAGUGAAUCUCAACACUUACUUUGCUCCAUACACAAGUAUUAGUUUGAAACAGACCCUAAACAUAAAAGUUAAGCAUAUAAAGCAUUUAUAAGAAAUCAUAGGAGAAUAUCUUUAUAACUAGUGUAGGCAAAGUCUCCUCAAAACAGUAACCAAAAGGAGGAGGCGGACGGAAGCAGUAUGAGAAGAGGAGGAAGAAGGAGGAGGAGAAAACGGAACUAAUAAAAAUUAAACAUUUUCUGCUCAUCAAGAGACACUUUUGAGAAAAUUAAAAGCAAACCACUCACUCAGAGAUAAUAUUUUCCAUACAUGUACUUGACAAAGAACUUGUAUCCAAAAUCUACAAGAAUGCCUUUAAAUUAUUUUAAAAAGUAAACAAAGAGAGCUUGCUCCUAGAAUGGUCAUGUGAGGAGCUACAUGGACCUGCUUUCCAGGGAAACAACUGUAACUAAUAAAAGUUAUCAUUUAAAAUCUCUGGAGGUUAGCCUGUGGGUGGGCAUACAUACAGCAGUUGAAGAAACAUUUAUUCAAGGAAAUCUAAGUGUUAGAACAGCAAAAGUGGGUGGCACUUGAGCCAUGACCUUCUGCCCUCUCCCACACUGCAUGACCGAAACUCCAUUUGGGUGGGGGUAGCCAAGAAGUUGGGGUCCCCUUCCCCUCAGCUCCCAGUUAAGAGAUACUGUAUCUCAUCAGGAGAUUUCAGGACACCAAGCAUUUCUCAUUCACCCAGCUCCUUGCUACAGAGGCUAAAUUGUUGGCAAAGAAUUGUGGCUGAGAGUUUGGGAGCUCCUUUCCUCCACCCAGCCCCCACUCCUAGGGCAGAAGCUUUGUUCUAGGCUUGGAAAGUUGAGAAUAUGGAGCUCUGAUGCUCUUGCCCUGCUUGAUUUGUAGGGUGAGGGUUCUGUGCUGGUAGAGGCAAACUGAGAAGGCCAGGGACUAGUGCCUUCAUGUAGCACCUUAUUAAUUAAGCAGGGGUGUCACUCUGAGAGAAGUGGGCCACUGUCCUCACCCCCAGCCCCAGAGCAGUGCAUCAGAGAUUUCCCCAGAGGGAGAAGUAGUGCAUAAACCCGGAACUCUGAAGUUCUUAACAAAAGAACUUACUUGAAGCAGAGUAUGUAGAAGUUCAAACCUAAGGAUGAGGGGGGAAAAUGGGGACUUUGGUGGUGGUAAGCAAUUAAGAGGAGGCUUCGUAGCUCCAUUAGAGCAGCACACUAAACUGUUGGAAUGAGCAUACCAGGGAAAUAGUCAAGGAUGAAGAACACUUUUGGGGCCAGAACAAAUCUCAAACACCGGCCUCAGAAACUAACCCUACAACAGAGCCUGAAUUUAUUGGAUCAGACUGGGGAGUAACUUAUGCCCCAGGGCAUAAAUUGAAAACAAUAGAUCAAUCAGCCAGCCAUUAGUGGAGCUCAACAACUGGGUAUAAUAUGAAAGAGUCAGACAGCUUAACAGAUCAGGUUCUUAAAGAGAGUAAAAAAAAGAGUCCUGCUAAACCAUUCUAUGAAUGCCCAAGGUUGUGUCCUCUAAGGAGCAGCAGCAGAGACUUCUUGCAGGUAAAACAGACCUCACUAGAAUACUCAGUUAUUAAAUAAAGAAAAAAUAAAUAAAAACAAGCUUCUGGUGGGGGUAGGGAGUUGGAAUCAGAUCAUAACUUGAAUCCACAAGAAAAAAAAAAAACGAAGAGAACCAAAAAUGUAAAUAAGGCUAACAUGCUAAAUUAUAAACAUAUACUUGCUCUCCUCUCAGCUUCUCUGAAGGACAUAAAAUUGUGUAAUCAUUGUUAUAUUCUGGUGGCUUGUAACAUGUAGUUGUACUGUGUGUAACAAUAUCGCAUAAAAAGGAAGAGGCCAUGAGCUCUACAGGAGUAAUGUUUGUGUGUGUCACUGAAAUUAAGUUGGUAUAUAUCUGAAGCUUUUUUGAUGUUAAUGUGCAUAUAAUAAGCCAUAGCACAGCCACUAAUAAAAAGUGAGAUUCAUUAAAGGAAUUAAAAUGUUGUAUUAGAAAAUAUUCACUUAGUGAAACAGAAAGGAGUAAAAGAGGAAUAGAGAAAAAAUAUAUAGAAAACGAAAAAGUAGAACAGCAGACAGACAUCAACAAUAUCAAUAAUAACAUUAAGUGUAAAUGGAGUAGUCCAUGUAAUCAGAAGGCAGAAGUUGUCAGACAAGGGGAGAAAAGAAUCAACAUUAUGCUGUUUACAGGAGAUACAGUGUAGAUUCAAAGAUACAAAUAGAUUAAAGAAUGAAGAUGGAAAAGAAGAAAUCACACAGCAACUACAAGAAAGCAGGAGUGGCUUACUAAUAUCAAACAAAAUAGACUCAAAAACAAAAAAAUGUUACUCCAGAUUAAAAAGGGACACUUCAUAAUGAUCAAAGUGCCAAAUCAUCAGGAAGACAUAACAAUUGCAAACAAACAUGCAUCUAACAAUGUAGACCCAAAAUACGUGAAGUAAAACUGAUAGAAAUGAAGGGAGAAAUAAACAACUCAACAACAGUACUCCACUUUCAAUAAUGCUUUAGAUUAACUAAGCAAAAGAGCAGCAAGGAAAUAGAAGAUAAACCACCUAGAUAUAACAGACAUCUGUAGAGCUCUCUGAACAAACACAGCUGAGUACAUAUUUUUCUCAAGUGGAUAAGGAACAUUCUUUUAAGAUAGGCCAUAUGGUAUGCCACUAAAAAAAUAAGUACACCUCUGGGUGCUUGGCUGGCUCAGUUGAAAGAGCAUUGACUCUUGAUCUUGGGGUUGUGAGUUUGAGCCCCACGUUGGGUGUAAAUUUUACUUAAAUAAACCUUUUCUUAAAAACACCUCAAUAAACUUUAAAAAGUUUAAAAUUAUACAAAGUAUGUUCUCUGACUGCAAUGGAAUGAAGUUAGAAAUCAAUAACACAAAGAAAUUUGGGAUAUUCACAACUGUGAAAUUUAACAAUUUACUCUUAUGUAACCAGUGUGUCAAAGAACAACUCUAAAGAGAAAUCAGAAAAUACUUUGAGAUGAGAGAGAAUGAAGACAUGACAUACCACAUCUUAUGAGAUGCAGCUAAAGUAGUGCUUAGUGGGAAAUUCAUAGUUGUAAUUGCCUGAAUUGAAAAAGAAGAAAAAAAAUUUUUUUUAAAGAAGAUCUCAAAUCAGUAACUUUAUCUUCCACCUUAAGGCACUGGAAAAAGAAGAGCUAACUCACACCAAAGCAAGCAGAUACAAGGGAAAUAAUAAAGAUUAGAGCAGAAAUUAAUCCAAUAGAGAAUGUGCAAACACAAAAUUAGGAAUAGAAGAAGGGACUACUAACUACAGAAUUAAAAAGGGUCAUAAGGGAAAACUGUGAACAGCUGUCUGCCAAAAAUUAGACAAUUUAGGUGAAAUAAAUUCCUAGAAAGGCACAAACUAUUAGAGUUGACUAGAGGAAAUAUAACAUCUGAAUAGACCUAUAACAAGUAAGUAAAUUGAAGAAGGAGAAGACGUAAUGAACUAACCACAAUGAAAAGCCCAGACCCAUGUAGCUUCCGUAGUGAAUACUGACAAAUGUUUAAGAAGGAAUUAAUGCCAGUCUUCACAAAUGUCCAAAAUAUAGAAGAGGAAGAAACACUUUCCAACCAAUUCUAUGAGGCCAGUAUUACCUCAACACCAAAACCAGACAAAAAUAUCAAGAUAAAUCAAGAAAAUUAUAAACCAAUAUCUCUUAUGAAUAAAGACACAAAAAUCCUCAACAAAAUACUAUCAAACUGAAUCCAGCAACAUAUUAAAAGGAAGGUAUACUGUGGCCAAGUAGGAUUUAUCCCAGGAAUGCAAGGAAAAGUGAAAAUCAAUUAAUAUACCUUACUAGUCAAAUAAAGGACAGAAACCAUAUUAUCAUCAUGGUAGACAUAGAAAAACAUUUGACAAAAUUCAACACUCCUUUGUGAUAAAAACACUCCUACUGCUACUUUUUGGUAGGAAUAGCGAACUUCCUCAAAAUCAAGAGCCAUUCUUUCCCCCUAAAAUCAGGAGCAAGGCAAGAAUAUCCACUUUCACUGCUUUGUUCAACAUGAAUGGAUUAACUCCAAAUGUUUCAAAGAUUAAAAGUAAGAGCUAAAAUGAAAAAAUUUCUUAGUGGAAGAUGGGUAAAUCUUUGCAACCUUGGUGUUGGCAAUGGUUUCUUAAAUAUGGUAUCAAAAGCACAAGCAACUAAAGAAAAAAAAGAUAAAUUGGAAUUUAAAUUGGAUGGAGUGAUGAAGAUGUUUUAAAAUUGAAUGUGUUGAUAGUUGCAUAACUGAAUAUACUAAAAACUAUCGAAUUUCAUGGUAUGUGAAUUAUAUUUGUUUUUUUUUAAUGUUUAUUUACUUUUGAGAGAGAGAGAGAGAGAGGGAGAGAAUGAGUGGGGAGGGGCAGAGAGAGCCAGAGACACAGAAUCCAAAGCAGGCUCCAGGCUCCGAGCUGUCAGCACAGAGCCCGACAUCAGGCUCGAACCCGCAAGCCAUGAGAUCAUGACCUGAGCCAAAGUCAGACACUCAAUCAACUGAGCCACCCAGGUACUCCUAUGUGAACUAUAUUUCAAAUGAAGAAAAGAAAAUCAGGGGCCCCUGGGUGGUUCAGUCAGUUAUGUAUCUGACUCUUGAUUUCAGCUCAGGUCACGAUCUCACGGUUUGCAGGAUCGAGCCUGUGUUAGGCUCUGUGUUGAGAACGUGGAGCCUGCUUGGCAAAUUCCCUCUCUCUCUCUCUCUGUGCCCCUUCCCUCCCCUGCACACUCUCUCUCUCUCAAAAAUAAACUUAAAUAUAAACAUCAAAAGGCAAACAAAACAAAACCCACUUUAAUAUACUUCACCAAAGAAGAUAUAAAAAUGUUCAAUAAGCUGGGGCACCCGGGUGGCUCAGUGGGUUGAGUGUCCAACUUUGGCUUAGGUCAUGAUCUCCUGGCUUAUAAGUUUGAGCCCACAUCGAGCUCGUUGCUUUCAGCCUAUCAGUGCAGAGCUGGCUUCUGACCCUCUGUCCUCCUCUCUGUGGCCCUUCCCCACCUGUGCUCUCCCAAAAAUAAGUAAAUAUUUUUUUAAAUGUCCAAUAAGCCAUGGAAAGAUACUAAGUAUCAUUAUGAUUCAGGAAAGUGCAAAUUAAACCCAUAAUGAGAUACCACAACACACUAAACAGAACAACUAAAAUUAUAAUGACUGAGAGUACCAACUGCUUACAUUAUAGAAAUUCUCGCUGACCUCAUAUCCCAGCCACUGAUUAGCACAAGUACUUAACCCAUAAGGACACUUCAGUUGUACCAUAGUUCCUGCCAUUAUAGCCCUUUGGCAGCUUCUGUAUCUACUUACCACUGUCGAUACCUGGACCGCUGCGUAGAGCUGGCUGUUCACUUUGUAAAGUAUGCAACCAUGUACCUACAAAUAAAUUUUUAUUUUAUGAAAGUCAGGUCUUCACCUUUGGCUCUUGGGCGAUUCCAAAAGUAGAAAGUAGGUUACUUGAUGCUAUUUUAGGUUUGUUUUCUUAAGUUUGUCAUUAGUUGUUCUCUGUCUCCCCAGUAAAUGGAAAAUAAACCACUUUCUAUGUUCCAAGCAACCAUAAUCCACAGUAGUUAACCAUUUCCAUUGUAUGGAUAAAAACUGCAGCUGAGAGAAUCUUGAUUUGCUCAAGGCAGGACACAGUGAAACCGCUGUUUGAUCCCAGUCUGAGAGUUACAAAGCCCAGGUCCUAUGGCCUAUAUUGAAGUCCCUGAAAGAUAGUAUAUUGGAUUCUUUUUACAACACACUUGCCUUUGAGUUUCAGAGUGAUUUUUUUCAGAGUAUAUUUAAUAUUCCACUGUAAAGAAUCUGUGUUUAAUUAAUAUAUCUAUGGAGUGCUUCCUGUAUGUGGGUACUGUUUGUAGAGAUGAAUACAUUGAUCCAGACUUGUAGAAAGCUCAGAGUUUCGUAGAGAAGGCAAGUGUGCAAAUAAACAUUUUCAAUACAGUAAGAUAACUGCAGUGGGAGAAGUCUUUAGUAAGUACAGUGGCUAACAAAAAAGGAAGUGAUCAACUGCUGGAGUGGUUAUUGAAGAUGAGAAAAUGGCAUAGGACAUGCAAGGAUGGAUGGGUAGGAGUUUGUCAGUUGGUCAGCUGACCUGUGGGUGUCUGUUUCUGUGUCAUGACUAAGUGUGGAAACCAUGUAUGCAUAAACAUCAGUAUUUGAUUUAAGUAAAUAACUACUUAAAGGUAGAAAAAAUUCAUUGUUAGUUGGCAGGAAUGCUGUGUUCCUUUACACCUUUUUAAUAAUUAGCUUUGUGUUAAGAUAUAAUUAAAACCUCUGAGCAAAAUGCAGAAGCCUUAGAAGGGCAAUGCUUUUUAUUGGCAU